This 251-nucleotide ribosomal RNA is filed under the name uncultured bacterium. RNAcentral's name for it is "partial 16S ribosomal RNA". It matches the Rfam family "Bacterial small subunit ribosomal RNA", at positions 525 to 775 of the family's 1533-position model. The record is from RNAcentral.
ACGUAUGUGGCAAGCGUUAUCCGGAUUCACUGGGUGUAAAGGGAGCGUAGGCGGUUAAUUAAGUCAGAAGUGAAAGCCCGGGGCUCAACCCCGGGACUGCUUUUGAAACUAACUAACUAGAGUGCAGAAGAGGCGAGUGGAAUUCCUAGUGUAGCGGUGAAAUGCGUAGAUAUUAGGGGGAACACCAGAGGCGAAGGCGACUCGCUGGACUGUAACUGACGCUGAGGCUCGAAGGCGUGGGGAGCAAACAG